This 417-nucleotide unclassified non-coding RNA is filed under the name rhizosphere metagenome. RNAcentral describes it as "partial ribosomal RNA internal transcribed spacer region". The record is from RNAcentral.
GUAGGUGAACCUGCGGAAGGAUCAUUACAACGUAUCCACGUAUCAACCAAAUGUGAACCUCCCAUCCGGAGCAAAACUUAGUGUGUCGCUAAUGGCCGAGCUGUAAAGUGACGCUUCCACAGAUGGAGAGUUUGGACCUAAUCGUCCGACCUCUUGGAAGUGUCCGUUCGGUCGUCAGUUCGCAAGAACUGAGGCGUCCUUUUGCUUCAGAUGCGGUAUAAAUGUCCGUCCAUCUGCGGUCGCCAAUUGUUUUACCCUUUCAUUAACCCUUUGUAACUUCAAUUGAACUGAACUAAUGUAACACUGGCAGCGGCUGUUCUUGUUGGCUUCGGUCACGAACGGUACACCAAACGCCGUCUUGUUGCAACAUAUUACGAAACGCACGAACAACUCUUAACAACGGAUAUCUUGGUUCUC